UGCCAGCAGCCGCGGUAAUACGGAGGGUGCAAGCGUUGUUCGGAUUUAUUGGGCGUAAAGCGAGUGUAGGCGGUUUGAAAAGUCGGAUGUGAAAUCCCAGGGCCCAACCCUGGAACUGCAUCCGAUACUGUCAGGCUAGAGUCCCGGAGAGGAUGGCGGAAUUCCCGGUGUAGGGGUGAAAUCCGUAGAUAUCGGGAGGAACACCAGUGGCGAAGGCGGCCAUCUGGACGGUGACUGACGCUGAGACUCGAAAGUGUGGGUAGCAAACAGGAUUAGAUA
Molecule: ribosomal RNA, 279 nt
Filed under: uncultured bacterium
Lineage: Bacteria
Description: partial 16S ribosomal RNA
Rfam family: Bacterial small subunit ribosomal RNA
Source: RNAcentral